GGUGGGGUUCCCGAGCGGCCAAAGGGACAGACUGUAAAUCUGCCGUCAUCGACUUCGAAGGUUCGAAUCCUUCCCCCACCGACCA
RNAcentral lists this transfer RNA (85 nucleotides) under Salmonella enterica subsp. enterica serovar Agona str. SA-3. RNAcentral describes it as "tRNA-Tyr". It matches the Rfam family "tRNA". Rfam says of the family: Transfer RNA (tRNA) molecules are approximately 80 nucleotides in length. Their secondary structure includes four short double-helical elements and three loops (D, anti-codon, and T loops). Lineage: Bacteria; Pseudomonadati; Pseudomonadota; Gammaproteobacteria; Enterobacterales; Enterobacteriaceae. The record is from RNAcentral.